Long non-coding RNA from Chenopodium quinoa (quinoa), 469 nucleotides. RefSeq lists it as uncharacterized. The transcript has 3 exons. The record is from RefSeq and is a predicted model, not a curated record. Lineage: Eukaryota; Viridiplantae; Streptophyta; Magnoliopsida; Caryophyllales; Amaranthaceae.
AAGCAUUUCCUUAAUUAAGUCACAUAAAAAAUUAUUGCAUAUGAGAAAUUUGAAGUCUAGGAAAUACGACUCCUUAAUCAAGGCCAUUUAUAGAUUCACUACGGCCAAAAUUAUGGUACAUAGCAUAUAAUGAUUUAAACCAGAAGUGCUACUGAGUCAGAUAAAAGGCGAAGCAUUUCAAACAUGCCAGAACACUAUAUGGAUGUAUAAGUAGGCUUAACACUAUACCACAACAUUCUUAUGGGGAGGGAGAACCUUAAAUACAUGAAUUGUUAUCUCCUCCCACAACCCCUAAAAUAAGAAAGAUGGUUCCCGUUUGUAGGGAGGCGAUCAUUUUGUACUUCUUAAAGUUCUUGUUAGUUUGGCACAAGGUUGUAAAUUGAUUGAAAUUGAUUUGUUUAUGAACGUGGACGUCCAUGAGAAGGCUCAUCUUGAACUAUAAUUUAUGAACAUAGACUUGUUAUUGCAA